GGGUUGUGAGGUUAAGCGACUAAGCGUACACGGUGGAUGCCCUGGCAGUCAGAGGCGAUGAAGGACGUGCUAAUCUGCGAUAAGCGUCGGUAAGGUGAUAUGAACCGUUAUAACCGGCGAUUUCCGAAUGGGGAAACCCAGUGUGAUUCGUCACACUAUCAUUAACUGAAUCCAUAGGUUAAUGAGGCGAACCGGGGGAACUGAAACAUCUAAGUACCCCGAGGAAAAGAAAUCAACCGAGAUUCCCCCAGUAGCGGCGAGCGAACGGGGAGCAGCCCAGAGCCUGAAUCAGUGUGUGUGUUAGUGGAAGCGUCUGGAAAGGCGUGCGAUACAGGGUGACAGCCCCGUACACAAAAAUGCACAUACUGUGAGCUCGAUGAGUAGGGCGGGACACGUGGUAUCCUGUCUGAAUAUGGGGGGACCAUCCUCCAAGGCUAAAUACUCCUGACUGACCGAUAGUGAACCAGUACCGUGAGGGAAAGGCGAAAAGAACCCCGGCGAGGGGAGUGAAAAAGAACCUGAAACCGUGUACGUACAAGCAGUGGGAGCACGCUUAGGCGUGUGACUGCGUACCUUUUGUAUAAUGGGUCAGCGACUUAUAUUCUGUAGCAAGGUUAACCGAAUAGGGGAGCCGAAGGGAAACCGAGUCUUAACUGGGCGUUAAGUUGCAGGGUAUAGACCCGAAACCCGGUGAUCUAGCCAUGGGCAGGUUGAAGGUUGGGUAACACUAACUGGAGGACCGAACCGACUAAUGUUGAAAAAUUAGCGGAUGACUUGUGGCUGGGGGUGAAAGGCCAAUCAAACCGGGAGAUAGCUGGUUCUCCCCGAAAGCUAUUUAGGUAGCGCCUCGUGAAUUCAUCUCCGGGGGUAGAGCACUGUUUCGGCAAGGGGGUCAUCCCGACUUACCAACCCGAUGCAAACUGCGAAUACCGGAGAAUGUUAUCACGGGAGACACACGGCGGGUGCUAACGUCCGUCGUGAAGAGGGAAACAACCCAGACCGCCAGCUAAGGUCCCAAAGUCAUGGUUAAGUGGGAAACGAUGUGGGAAGGCCCAGACAGCCAGGAUGUUGGCUUAGAAGCAGCCAUCAUUUAAAGAAAGCGUAAUAGCUCACUGGUCGAGUCGGCCUGCGCGGAAGAUGUAACGGGGCUAAACCAUGCACCGAAGCUGCGGCAGCGACGCUUAUGCGUUGUUGGGUAGGGGAGCGUUCUGUAAGCCUGUGAAGGUGUGCUGUGAGGUAUGCUGGAGGUAUCAGAAGUGCGAAUGCUGACAUAAGUAACGAUAAAGCGGGUGAAAAGCCCGCUCGCCGGAAGACCAAGGGUUCCUGUCCAACGUUAAUCGGGGCAGGGUGAGUCGACCCCUAAGGCGAGGCCGAAAGGCGUAGUCGAUGGGAAACAGGUUAAUAUUCCUGUACUUGGUGUUACUGCGAAGGGGGGACGGAGAAGGCUAUGUUGGCCGGGCGACGGUUGUCCCGGUUUAAGCGUGUAGGCUGGUUUUCCAGGCAAAUCCGGAAAAUCAAGGCCGAGGCGUGAUGACGAGGCACUACGGUGCUGAAGCAACAAAUGCCCUGCUUCCAGGAAAAGCCUCUAAGCAUCAGGUAACAUCAAAUCGUACCCCAAACCGACACAGGUGGUCAGGUAGAGAAUACCAAGGCGCUUGAGAGAACUCGGGUGAAGGAACUAGGCAAAAUGGUGCCGUAACUUCGGGAGAAGGCACGCUGAUACGUAGGUGAAGCGACUUGCUCGUGGAGCUGAAAUCAGUCGAAGAUACCAGCUGGCUGCAACUGUUUAUUAAAAACACAGCACUGUGCAAACACGAAAGUGGACGUAUACGGUGUGACGCCUGCCCGGUGCCGGAAGGUUAAUUGAUGGGGUUAGCGCAAGCGAAGCUCUUGAUCGAAGCCCCGGUAAACGGCGGCCGUAACUAUAACGGUCCUAAGGUAGCGAAAUUCCUUGUCGGGUAAGUUCCGACCUGCACGAAUGGCGUAAUGAUGGCCAGGCUGUCUCCACCCGAGACUCAGUGAAAUUGAACUCGCUGUGAAGAUGCAGUGUACCCGCGGCAAGACGGAAAGACCCCGUGAACCUUUACUAUAGCUUGACACUGAACAUUGAGCCUUGAUGUGUAGGAUAGGUGGGAGGCUUUGAAGUGUGGACGCCAGUCUGCAUGGAGCCGACCUUGAAAUACCACCCUUUAAUGUUUGAUGUUCUAACGUGGACCCGUGAUCCGGGUUGCGGACAGUGUCUGGUGGGUAGUUUGACUGGGGCGGUCUCCUCCUAAAGAGUAACGGAGGAGCACGAAGGUUGGCUAAUCCUGGUCGGACAUCAGGAGGUUAGUGCAAUGGCAUAAGCCAGCUUGACUGCGAGCGUGACGGCGCGAGCAGGUGCGAAAGCAGGUCAUAGUGAUCCGGUGGUUCUGAAUGGAAGGGCCAUCGCUCAACGGAUAAAAGGUACUCCGGGGAUAACAGGCUGAUACCGCCCAAGAGUUCAUAUCGACGGCGGUGUUUGGCACCUCGAUGUCGGCUCAUCACAUCCUGGGGCUGAAGUAGGUCCCAAGGGUAUGGCUGUUCGCCAUUUAAAGUGGUACGCGAGCUGGGUUUAGAACGUCGUGAGACAGUUCGGUCCCUAUCUGCCGUGGGCGCUGGAGAACUGAGGGGGGCUGCUCCUAGUACGAGAGGACCGGAGUGGACGCAUCACUGGUGUUCGGGUUGUCAUGCCAAUGGCACUGCCCGGUAGCUAAAUGCGGAAGAGAUAAGUGCUGAAAGCAUCUAAGCACGAAACUUGCCCCGAGAUGAGUUCUCCCUGACCCUUUAAGGGUCCUGAAGGAACGUUGAAGACGACGACGUUGAUAGGCCGGGUGUGUAAG
This 2861-nucleotide ribosomal RNA is filed under the name Shigella flexneri. Its description in RNAcentral is "partial 23S ribosomal RNA". It matches the Rfam family "Bacterial large subunit ribosomal RNA". The record is from RNAcentral. Lineage: Bacteria; Pseudomonadati; Pseudomonadota; Gammaproteobacteria; Enterobacterales; Enterobacteriaceae.